CGCCGACAGCGUGGCAUUGGCGCCGCCGCCGAAGCCGGGGAAGCCCGCGGAGAGCACGGCGGGGCAGCUGACGAAGAGGUGGUAGCUCCCGGACACCCAGCUUCCGACCUUCCACUUGAUGCGGCCGUCGACCUUGACCUGCAGCGCGACGAACCCGGCGGCGACGUCCUGCUUCAUGGCGUCGGCGACGUACCCGGCGACGGGCACGGACUGGGCCGACAGGACCGGCGACCAGACGGUGACGUCGCGGUGGCCCUGGUACUGCGGCGGCAGCGAGACGGGGACCGUGACGGGCUCGUCGCGGUAGGUGACGAAGACGUCGAGGCGGCGGUAGAGGACGCCGACGUGGUCGUUGGGGUUGCGGGAGGCCAGCGUCACCUGCGCCGACGCCGAGAGGGACGGGUCGCCCACGGUGAUGGGGCGGCGGAGCUGCAGGUCCUGCAGGUAGAAGGACGGCUUGGAGGGGCGGAGCGCGAGGUAGACGACGAGCGCGACGAAGGCCACGAUGAGGACCAGCGCCAGGAGGCACGACGCCAUGCACCCGCAGCAGCGCCGCAGGUGGUGCUCGUGGCGGUGGUGCUUGCCCUCCUUGCUCAUGGCUGAUCAGUGGUCACGA
This 616-nucleotide long non-coding RNA is filed under the name Setaria italica (foxtail millet). RNAcentral's name for it is "long non-coding RNA (SITA_LNC000473)". Lineage: Eukaryota; Viridiplantae; Streptophyta; Magnoliopsida; Poales; Poaceae. The record is from RNAcentral.